This 253-nucleotide ribosomal RNA is filed under the name uncultured bacterium. Its description in RNAcentral is "partial 16S ribosomal RNA". It matches the Rfam family "Bacterial small subunit ribosomal RNA", at positions 524 to 776 of the family's 1533-position model. The record is from RNAcentral.
UACGUAGGGCGCAAGCGUUGUCCGGAAUUAUUGGGCGUAAAGAGCUCGUAGGCGGCUUGUCACGUCGGGUGUGAAAGCCCGGGGCUUAACCCCGGGUCUGCAUUCGAUACGGGCUAGCUAGAGUGUGGUAGGGGAGAUCGGAAUUCCUGGUGUAGCGGUGAAAUGCGCAGAUAUCAGGAGGAACACCGGUGGCGAAGGCGGGUCUCUGGGCCUUACCUGACGCUGAGGAGCGAAAGCAUGGGGAGCAAACAGG